CCCUUAGAUGUUCUGGGCCGCACGCGUGCUACACUGAGUGGAUCAGCGGGUCAGGUUGCGCGAAAGUGUUUCCUAAUCUUUAAAUCCGCUCGUGAUGGGGAUUGACGGUUGCAAUUUUCCGUCAUGAACGAGGAAUACCUUGUAAGCGCGGGUCAUCAUCCCGCGCUGAAUACGUUCCUGCCCUUUGUACACACCGCCCGUCGCUCCUACCGAUUGAGUGGUCCGGUGAGGCUUUGGGAUCUGGGCGGAAAGAGCGUUUCGCUGUUUCUGCCCGGAAAACUCAGUCGAACCUUAUCAUUUAGAGGAAGGAGAAGUCGUAACA
Molecule: ribosomal RNA, 322 nt
Filed under: uncultured eukaryote
Lineage: Eukaryota
Description: partial 18S ribosomal RNA
Rfam family: Eukaryotic small subunit ribosomal RNA
Source: RNAcentral